Molecule: ribosomal RNA, 440 nt
Filed under: uncultured bacterium
Lineage: Bacteria
Description: partial 16S ribosomal RNA
Rfam family: Bacterial small subunit ribosomal RNA
Source: RNAcentral
CCUACGGGAGGCAGCAGUGGGGCAUUUUGCACAAUGGGGGGAACCCUGAUGCCGCGACGCCGCGUGGGUGAAGGAGUACUUCGGUACGUAAAGCCCUAUCAACAGGAAAGAAAAUGACGGUACCUAACUAAGAAGCCCCUGCUAACGACGUGCCAGCAGCCGCGGUAACACGUAGGGGGCAAGCGUUAGCCGGAGUGACGGGGCGGAAAGGGGGCGUAGACGGCAGUGCAAGUCCUGAGUGAAAGACCGGGGCUCAACCCUGGGACGGCUCUGGAUACUGUAAAGCUGGAGUGCGGGAGGGGCAGGCGGAAUUCCUGGUGUAGCGGUGAAAUGCGUAGAUAGCAGGAGGAACACCGGCAGCGAAGGCGGCCUGCUGGACCGUAACUGACGUUGAGGCUCGAAAGCGUGGGGAGCAAACAGGAUUAGAUACCCCAGUAGUC